This 373-nucleotide transfer-messenger RNA is filed under the name Bacteriovoracales bacterium. It matches the Rfam family "transfer-messenger RNA". From Rfam's summary of the family: Bacterial tmRNA, also known as 10Sa RNA or SsrA, is named for its dual tRNA and mRNA-like properties. Its role is to liberate the mRNA from a stalled ribosome. To accomplish this part of the tmRNA is used as a reading frame that ends in a translation stop signal. The record is from RNAcentral. Lineage: Bacteria; Pseudomonadati; Bdellovibrionota; Bacteriovoracia; Bacteriovoracales.
GGGGGUGCCAUGGCUUCGACAGGGAACUGCGAGGUUUAAUUUGCGUGUCUGGGUUGAUCUCCCGGCCCAGUAAAAAGGAGAUCAAACUAUAAUUGCUGAAUCAAAUGAUUUUGCACCAGCGAUGGCCGCUUAAUUAGCGAAUCCAUUACUUGAGGGGCAUGUCCCAAUAAACAGAAUCAUGCAAGCAGGUUGAGGCGGCCUGUAAACUUGUCUUCUAGGAGUAGUCAGGUCUACCUAGUUAAAAAAUCACUGAGGUUUGCUGGGGGUACAAAACCAGACAGCCUUGUUCCAUGGCGAUAAUCUGGAACUACACACGUAGUAGGUUAUUCUGAGAGUUCUUUGGACGUGGGUUCGAUUCCCACCACCUCCACCA